CGUAUCACCCAAGACAACUUUACGGAGUUGACGAUUGACGGAGCGAAGCGACGUCAAAGCGUUCAUUAAAGUCGAGUUGGCUUAGGGAUACGUUCGUUGGGUAGGGGAGCGUUCUGUAAGCCUGUGAAGGUGUGUCGUGAGGCAUGCUGGAGGUAUCAGAAGUGCGAAUGCUGACAUAAGUAACGAUAAAGCGGGUGAAAAGCCCGCUCGCCGGAAGACCAAGGGUUCCUGUCCAACGUUAAUCGGGGCAGGGUGAGUCGACCCCUAAGGCGAGGCCGAAAGGCGUAGUCGAUGGGAAACGGGUUAAUAUUCCCGUACUUGGUGUUACUGCGAAGGGGGGACGGAGAAGGCUAUGUUGGCCGGGCGACGGUUGUCCCGGUUUAAGCGUGUAGGUGUGUGUUCCAGGUAAAUCCGGUUCACUUUAACACUGAGGCGUGACGACGAGGCACUACGGUGCUGAAGCAACAAAUGCCCUGCUUCCAGGAAAAGCCUCUAAGCAUCAGGUAACACGAAAUCGUACCCCAAACCGACACAGGUGGUCAGGUAGAGAAUACCAAGGCGCUUGAGAGAACUCGGGUGAAGGAACUAGGCAAAAUGGUGCCGUAACUUCGGGAGAAGGCACGCUGACACGUAGGUGAAGUGAUUUACUCAUGGAGCUGAAGUCAGUCGAAGAUACCAGCUGGCUGCAACUGUUUAUUAAAAACACAGCACUGUGCAAACACGAAAGUGGACGUAUACGGUGUGACGCCUGCCCGGUGCCGGAAGGUUAAUUGAUGGGGUCAGCGUAAGCGAAGCUCCUGAUCGAAGCCCCGGUAAACGGCGGCCGUAACUAUAACGGUCCUAAGGUAGCGAAAUUCCUUGUCGGGUAAGUUCCGACCUGCACGAAUGGCGUAAUGAUGGCCAGGCUGUCUCCACCCGAGACUCAGUGAAAUUGAACUCGCUGUGAAGAUGCAGUGUACCCGCGGCAAGACGGAAAGACCCCGUGAACCUUUACUAUAGCUUGACACUGAACAUUGAGCCUUGAUGUGUAGGAUAGGUGGGAGGCUUUGAAGUGUGGACGCCAGUCUGCAUGGAGCCGACCUUGAAAUACCACCCUUUAAUGUUUGAUGUUCUAACGUGGACCCGUAAUCCGGGUUGCGGACAGUGUCUGGUGGGUAGUUUGACUGGGGCGGUCUCCUCCUAAAGAGUAACGGAGGAGCACGAAGGUUGGCUAAUCCUGGUCGGACAUCAGGAGGUUAGUGCAAUGGCAUAAGCCAGCUUGACUGCGAGCGUGACGGCGCGAGCAGGUGCGAAAGCAGGUCAUAGUGAUCCGGUGGUUCUGAAUGGAAGGGCCAUCGCUCAACGGAUAAAAGGUACUCCGGGGAUAACAGGCUGAUACCGCCCAAGAGUUCAUAUCGACGGCGGUGUUUGGCACCUCGAUGUCGGCUCAUCACAUCCUGGGGCUGAAGUAGGUCCCAAGGGUAUGGCUGUUCGCCAUUUAAAGUGGUACGCGAGCUGGGUUUAGAACGUCGUGAGACAGU
This 1520-nucleotide ribosomal RNA is filed under the name Salmonella enterica. Its description in RNAcentral is "partial 23S ribosomal RNA". It matches the Rfam family "Bacterial large subunit ribosomal RNA", at positions 1154 to 2630 of the family's 2925-position model. The record is from RNAcentral. Lineage: Bacteria; Pseudomonadati; Pseudomonadota; Gammaproteobacteria; Enterobacterales; Enterobacteriaceae.